GUUGAAUCAAAAAACAAAAUGGCCGCUAGCGUUGUACUGUUGUGUGUUAUGGUCAGCUCAGUAUGGGCGGCUGACAGCGGCUUCACCCCAGGGUGUAGCUUUGUGGGGGGUCAGUGCAUGUACACGGUUCAGCUCGGCCACCAGGGGACAGUGUGACGCCCAGCCAACAACGGUUGUGGCAAGUGGUGACACAAAAUGCUGUGAUGACGUCAAAGGCGACAUUGUUUGGUUGAAAGCUGAGUUGGAGUCGAUCCAGACACAGGUACUCACGCUGACAGCAGCCCUGAACGCCACGACCCAAAACCUCCUUGACGGCCAACAUCGAGGUGCAGACGGUCAAGGCCGAGAGGGACUCGCUAUUGGAGAUGCUGCACCGCAAGGAACUCGAGCUGAACCAGACCACAGACGGAGGUCGCGCGCAUCCUGGGCGUGGCCAGCAAGGAGAUCGAGGCACUGCGCGCUGACGUCACCAACCUGACCAACGCUCUCAGAACGUGCAGGACGGCACUGGGGAUUACCUCAACGGAGGACGG
Molecule: long non-coding RNA, 533 nt
Organism: Physella acuta
Lineage: Eukaryota; Metazoa; Mollusca; Gastropoda; Physidae
Source: RefSeq, a predicted model, not a curated record